GCCAAGCCACCAAGUACUCAGCUUCUCCCUAUGGCCCUGCUACUCCUAAGGCAGCAGUUUGGCUCCACAACACCCAUGUCUAGCCAGUAGGGGGAGUAAGAGGGCAGAGACUCUGGCAAGCUAAGAGAGAUGAAGUCAGCCUUGCAGUCUAGUUUAUUGUGCGUGAAGGAUUGUGAGAGUCAUUGGAAACCUUCCAGGAGAAAAGUGGAUGAGGAGCAACAGGCGCAGUCUGCAAUGGAGGCUCUAGGACCGCGCAGACGACGGCUGGGUGGCGGCAGGGUCUAACCCGGAGAAGCUGCCUGAGUCACCGGCCCCGCCCUCCUGAACCGGACACAGCGGGGGCCCGGCAGCAGGCGAGCAAGACCGCGGACCGCCGGAUCCGUAAGUGAGACGGGACACUCCAGUCCAGCACCCCUGCACCCUGUAGAUCCGGAAUCCGUAGUCCUCAGAUCUGGCGAGACCCUAAAGUCGUGGCCCUUGGGGGUCCUAGGACCGGUGUUCUCAGAUUCGAACCAUCGGGCCUGUCAGCCCCUCCAGAACACUCCUUACCAUCCCGGAUCUGACGACCAAAAAAUAUAAGCCCAAAGAUCAGAGAGAUACCCGGAAAUUAUUUUGGGCGUCUAGAACCACAAUCCGAGAUCGUGGUUCCCAUUUGCGGUGGGAAGAACUCCGUUAUCCAGGAUCCUCCGGGCGCACAGCCAUAAUUUUUGGCCGGAGCCCACAGAUCCCGUAGUGACAGUGUAGUCCCUCUGUCGAGAGUACCUGAAUGUCUUAAUCCACAUUAGGAACUUCCUGGUCAGCCCUGGGUCAUCCCUACCCUGAGCUUAAUUUUGGAAGGCCUGGAUCUGAGACACGUCCGGUUUUACACACCUUAGGGUUUCUACACGAGAAUCCCCUGUUUUCCCGCUGCCUCAAGACAGGGUAAAGCAGGCAGGCGCUGUAGCCAAGGCUGGCCUUGAACUGGUCCUCCAGCCUCAGCCUCCCAAUUUCUGGGAUUACAGUAGAGCGCUACUACGCACGCCCAGCUGUACCCCUGUCCUCAUGCCUAUAUAUGCAGUCAAGCCUGGGCCAGGGUACUUUCUAGACCCUAGGAGGUUUCACAUCUCCUAUCACCUGUCCAGACCCCUAGCUUGAGGCUCUGUCCCCAUCUCGAGGCCUCAGUGUCGUCCCCAAUCUAGUUGCCGGAAAUGCUUGCCUUUUUUUUUUUUUUUUUUUGCGGGAAGGGCUGGGCUCCUGGCAAGGCCACUACCCGACCCACCCCUUUUACUUUACAGGACUCAGCUGC
Molecule: long non-coding RNA, 1285 nt
Filed under: Mus spicilegus (steppe mouse)
Lineage: Eukaryota; Metazoa; Chordata; Mammalia; Rodentia; Muridae
Description: lncRNA (ENSMSIG00000004397.1)
Source: RNAcentral